CUGAAAUAGGAGAAGUAAGGAUAUCACCAUAUCCAAGAACUCUGGUCGAGCGUUUGCGAUUGGUACUCAGCAGAAUAGAGCAUUAAUAUUCCCGGCAAAUGUCUCUCCCUGCCCCAAAUGUUUCACGAUCAAUCCUGGCACACCCUACCACAGUGUAUACAGAACCGAAAUUACCGAAUUGUAGACAGUAAAUUCGAGGCAAUUGUGAACGAUGAGGAAUUUUCGAAAUUGUUUGUCAUAGCAUCUAGAACAGUGCAUGUCUGUCACCUCCCAGGAAAAUCAGAAGCGGAAUUCAUUCGAGUGGAGCAGAGAGUGAUUGUCGGGCAGCUAUCAAAUCUCUGCGCCUUUACAGCCACACGAUAACACAGAUGACGGCCAUUGAAAUGGACGCCAUUAGAAAACAUUUAGUGCUGUGUUCACUGAGGUCAAAUACAUCCAAGCCGAUGGAUCUGCUUUGAAACAACUCGGUAAG
This is a long non-coding RNA of Nilaparvata lugens (brown planthopper), 472 nucleotides long. RefSeq lists it as uncharacterized. NCBI's taxonomy places the organism in Eukaryota, Metazoa, Arthropoda, Insecta, Hemiptera, Delphacidae. The transcript has 4 exons. The record is from RefSeq and is a predicted model, not a curated record.